GGGGAAUCUUGCACAAUGGGGGAAACCCUGAUGCAGCGACGCCGCGUGAGUGAUGAAGUCCUUCGGGAUGUAAAGCUCUUUCGACAGGAACGAUAAUGACGGUACCUGGAGAAGAAGCUGCGGCUAACUACGUGCCAGCAGCCGCGGUAAUACGUAGGCAGCAAGCGUUGUUCGGAAUUAUUGGGCGUAAAGAGUAUGUAGGCGGUUCGCUAAGUCUGAUGUGAAAUCUCCUGGCUUAACUGGGAGGGUGCGUCGGAAACUGGCGGGCUCGAGUGCGGGAGAGGGGAGCGGAAUUCCUGGUGUAGCGGUGAAAUGCGUAGAUAUCAGGAGGAACACCGGUGGUGUAGACGGCUCCCUGGACCGUAACUGACGCUGAGAUACGAAAGCGUGGGUAGCAAAC
RNAcentral lists this ribosomal RNA (400 nucleotides) under uncultured bacterium. RNAcentral describes it as "bacterial SSU rRNA". It matches the Rfam family "Bacterial small subunit ribosomal RNA", at positions 356 to 773 of the family's 1533-position model. The record is from RNAcentral.